Molecule: ribosomal RNA, 497 nt
Filed under: uncultured bacterium
Lineage: Bacteria
Description: partial 16S ribosomal RNA
Rfam family: Bacterial small subunit ribosomal RNA
Source: RNAcentral
GAUGAACGCUGGCGGCGUGCCUAAUACAUGCAAGUCGAGCGAACGGACGAGAAGCUUGCUUCUCUGAUGUUAGCGGCGGACGGGUGAGUAACACGUGGAUAACCUACCUAUAAGACUGGGAUAACUUCGGGAAACCGGAGCUAAUACCGGAUAAUAUUUUGAACCGCAUGGUUCAAAAGUGAAAGACGGUCUUGCUGUCACUUAUAGAUGGAUCCGCGCUGCAUUAGCUAGUUGGUAAGGUAACGGCUUACCAAGGCAACGAUGCAUAGCCGACCUGAGAGGGUGACCGCCCACCAGGGAACUGAGACACGGCCCAGACUCCGAGGGGAGGGAGAGGAAGGGACUCUUCCGCAAGGGGCGAAAGCCUGAGGGCGCAACGCGGGGGGAGUAAUGAAGGUCUCGGGAUCUUAAAACUCUUUUAUGGGGGAAAAAAAUAUGUUAAAGAAACUGUCCACAUCUGGCCGGUCCCUAAUCAAAAAGCCACGGCAAACUCCGGG